Molecule: long non-coding RNA, 7074 nt
Filed under: Phaseolus vulgaris (common bean)
Lineage: Eukaryota; Viridiplantae; Streptophyta; Magnoliopsida; Fabales; Fabaceae
Description: long non-coding RNA (PVUL_LNC001929)
Source: RNAcentral
AUCCUAAAUCAGUACUUAAGUUGGAACAUCCACGUUUCAAAUGAUCUAGAAGAUGAGUGAAGUAAAGGUGGCAAAGAUGAACCUCGAAGAGAGUCUGUUGGGGAAGGUUGUUCUGUAGACAAUGUUCCAUCGAAGGGCUUGAUAAAAAACCCAAUAGAUACCCCCCCACACUUCUGCAACAAACAAACCAAGCCAAGCCCAUUGGCCAGCUUCUCCUUUUGCAGGUAUGUGAGUGAGUCUGAAUGCCCAGACGAAGCAUAUGGCAACAAACAAAGAGACAGCAUAGAGCCUCCGAAUGUACCUUGCUUUGUCUUUCCUUGUUUCAAACAAUGACUUCUCUUCACCACUCCCCAUUGUGCCUUCUAACUCACUCCUCUCUCUUCUUGCUCUGCAUCUUCACUUCACUUUCUUAUAUAGCUACAAAAUCAAUGAUCUUCCAUGAGCUACUGAUGUCAUUUUGGAAUGGUUUUUGAGUUAAUCCUCUUUCUUAUACAGCCACAAAUUAUCUCUAAUCAUGCAUGCUACCUCGAAGACUCCAAAGCAAAAGCCAAAAGCAACUGACGAGUGCACUGACGAAACCAGACCAAUAUUUCUACAUUAACUUGGACCAAAUCAUACUUAUUUUGUUUUCGUAACCAAACUUGUUUAACUUAAUUGAUGUUUCGAAACAAACGUAUGUUUGAUUGAUUUUUAUGGUUAGUUUAGUAAUUUUAUUCAUGUGGGUCGGAUAAAAUCAGUGAUGAUGAGAAAUAAGAACAUAGAGCAGAAAAGGAGCGUAUAGAUGGAAAGUUCCUUUUGAGUAGUCACCGUCCAACCCCACAGACUCAUAAAAAUCAUUUAAUGGGUGUCACUCUCCAACCUACCCAGCAAAUAUAAGAACCACUCAAACCAUAUUAAGAUUCUGUUUCUAAAAAUACAAAAGGAUGAUGUCGAGAGUGUGAUUUUGGGAGAAUAUUUUUGCAUGCAUGCUACCAAUUAUUUAGUUUCUAAAUUUAGUCUCUAAAACCUUGGUUGCUAAUUAGAGACCAAUUUAGAAACUAUUUAACAAUAAUAGAAAAUAAUAUAAACUAAUUUAGAAACCAAUUUUUGUUUUAGUUUCCAAAAUGGUCUCUAAUUUAGUUACUAUUGCAACUAUUUAUUUUGGUCACUAAAAAUUGGUUUCUAUUUCAUGAUUUUCUUUGUAGUGGUAAGAGUUGUAGAUUUUUAUUUUUUUUUGAAUUUAUCUUUUAAAUGGAUUAAACUAUAUUAAGUACAAUAGCAAAAUGACGUAAAUGAAAAUAAAGGGUCAAAUUUCACCAGACGUGAAAUAAAGUGUUACUGAAUUAUAAAUUUAUUCUUUUAUCUUUCUAUUUAUAUUGAUUUGAUCUUUUAUUUUUGAAAUAAUUAUUUUCAUAUCAAUAUAUAUUAAGUAUUAAAAUAAAUAAAUAUUGAAUCGUUUUAGCUAACAACAAGUCUCUAGAUUAAAAUAUAAUAACAAAAUUAUAAUCACAUAAAUAUACAUUAAAAUAAUCUCACGACCAUCACACAACUCACAAAUUUCAAUAAACUUCUCUCACAAAUCUACUUUAAGAUGCUAUAAUCUUAACGCAUUCAUUUUCUUCACACUUUGCUAUCAAAUCCUCACACUUUCACUCAUCAAUCCAAACACAGCCUACGUGAAAUUGCAUUAGGCCCAGCUAAUUUGUGUUUUAAAGACUAUUUCCAUUUUAAAGUUAUGUCUCACAGUGAAAUCUCAUUUUAACUAAUUUCUAUUUUUUAUUAAUUAGAAAAUUGUUUGUCAUUCUAGUAAUAUUACAUAAAUAUUUUUUUUCUUUAUAGUUUGUAUUUUUUUUUAAAUGCUACUUCAUACAGGGUUUCUGAAAAUAUCAGUUUCUAAUGUUAAAAUUUAGUUAAAUAAAUUAGUGAAAAUUUAUAUAUUUAUAAAUAUGGUAAACAAUUCUGGAGUUAACUAAACAAAAUACACAUCACACAACUUCCUUUUCACCUUAAUUACUUGUUUUUUUUUUUUUAUCGGCAAUACCUUAAUUACUUGUAGGUUGUGUUAAUAUCGGGUAGGGAAUUUGAGGGAGUGAAUUUGGAGUGAUUUGAGAGAAAAACCAGAAGAAAGUGAUGUUCUUUAGAUUAAUGUAUGUUUGAGUGAAUUUGUGAGGAAAAAUUUAUCCGUAAGUGAUAUGAUUAUUUGAAUAUUUAUUUUCUUGCUUAAGGGAUAAUGGAUGUUAGAUAUUUGCUUUAUUAGAUAUGUUAUUUAUAACAUACAUGUAGAAAAUAUAGUAAACUAUUUCUCAUUUUGAGAAAAUAACUAUAUUUAUUGGGAUUUUUUUUUUUUACUUAAAUGUGAGUUUUUUAUUUGAAAUGUCAUGCAAACUACAUAAAUUGUUUUUACAUCUAUUUAAGUUUUAUUUCACACAUAACACUAAUAAACAUAUUACUCUAUGACAUAAUUAACAUUAUUCAUAAAUUUUGGUUAAGAAUAUGUUAUUGUAUAAACCGAAAAGGUCUUCUCCAUGUCGUUUAAAUUUUUGGGAUCUUCGACUUCAACACCUAACUUGUCUCGAUACUAGGUCUCUUCUCAGAAAAAGGAAUGGUAUCAGCAAAAGGUCAUCGGAUGCUAAAGUUAAUAAUAAAUGUCACAAAACACGUAUCUUUUGUCUUGGUCCUGACCGUGUAUUUAAAGGGUCAAAGUGGGUUUAUGUGUUGGUGAGCCCGAUUUAUCAUAACUUACCAAGUUAAUCUUAUGAUUAUGAGAGAUUUCGUACACAUGAGUUAUGUUUAAUUAGUUACCUUAGACCGUGGUUAAUCUUGGAUCAUCAGGAUAUGUUAAACUUUUGGAGGGUUCGGUCAUGGUUGGCCUUAUAGUACAUAAUCCCAAUAAAUCAACUCCUCAAAAUUUAAUCACCAAAAUAAAUUUUUGCGCUCACAAAAAUUCAAACAAACAAAGCUAGCAAGAAAUCAAAUAACUAAAAGAGUUCCGUAAUUAUACACCAAUAAUUAUACUUUUUGAAUAAUAAUUCAAGUUUGAGUCCUAAGUCUUAUGUUCAGUCCUUUUAUGUUGUUUCAUAUAUACUAUCUGGAUGAUAUAAAUAUAUAUUAGGUUUUUCUCUAGUGUAAUUAACCUCUAGCAUAACAUAGGAUGAAGGUUUAAAUUAAUAACAGAAGUAAUAAUAACGCCAUGUAUUGACAAUAUUUCUUUCCAUUUCAAAUUAAUAAUAUGACAAUAAGUACAUAUUUUUCAAUGGAAAGGCAAAAAUAUUUAGAUAAAAUAAUGAAAGCAAAAUGUCUUUGCCCAUUAGAGGGUAAAACAAAAGACUACAUCAAUAUACUCAAUUGAAUAGUUUGAAAAACAUACAUGCAGUGAAAGCCAAUGUAGUAGACUUGAUAGAAACAAAAGUUGGCAUUCGACCCUUAUCCUUCCUCACAAAAAUGGCUUGGUAUAAGGGAAUAUUGAUGACAACUAAGAAUCCACACAAAAGAACUUGUAAUGUCAUUUUCUCAGCAGCAAAGGUACCUUUGUGAAGGACCAAUUCCUUUGAAGUUAGAAGCAAGCAAAACAAAUUGAGUAAUGCAAGUGUUGCUAGAACCGUGAAAUAAGGAGAAGAUGUUCCAAACUCCAUGACUCUUUUCUUGUAACGCUGAGCAACAUCAUCAUCAAUGACCUUUGAUGUGAGUGAAAAUGAUGAAUUUGGACGUCCAAAGAACCCUAGGAUACCGUCUAUUAAGGAAAAAAGAAAGGAACUUGUUUUCACGUAUAACCAUAUUCUUGUACCAUUCCACCAACCUUGGAUUGAUCCUCCCAUACUCAAACCCUCAAUCAAGCUAUAAGCAAUUUCCCCAACAAUUACACAUGCGAAAGGUAUAAACCAUACGCUAGAAAUCUGUUGAACCAAAACAUUAAGUACAAAAUGUUAACAACAUUAAAGAAUCAUAUAAAAACAUAACAUGUUUAUGAUUUAUGCAUUUAGUUCACUCAUGAUAUUUUUCAUCUCAAUUUCUCAUUCAUAUAAUUAGUAAAUUAAAAACAAAUAUAAAAAUAUAAUUAGACGAAUAUAAGUCCUAAGUAUCAAAAUAUUUUUGAAGAAAUAUACUCAACUUUCGAUUUCAUUAAUAUACGCAAUUGGUAACAUGGCACAAAAUUCCAUUUCAAAGUAGAAAUUCAAAGUUAAAACUAACAUACCAGAAAAAUUGAUGAAAAUAAUAAUUUGAGGAAAAGUUCAUAAAUUAAAAAACAAACUAGCUUAUUAAAAUCCAAUUAAAUAAAAAUGCCUCUAAAACCCCACUAAUUAUAUAUCAGCUUAAGUGGCAAAGAUUUGGUUUAACAUUGAGUAUAAAGUCAAACAAUAAAAGAAGAAAACUUUCUACGAUUCAACUUUUACCUAAUUAUAAAUUUUGAGUAGUUUACAAUGUGAAUUUGUGUUUGAUAAGGAGUUUCAAAAAAGAAAAUGUUUCAAAAGUUGUGAUUGUUUUGUGAGAAAAAAUGAUAUUACCUUUGGAAAGAAGGAAACACCCUUAAGGAGAUAAAGUGAAGGGAUGAUGGAGUAAUAUAGUACUGACAAUGAAGUGAUGGCAAAGAAGUUGUAGUGUCCAUAUCCCAAUAGUAAGCCUAGGUUGAUCUUUUCAUCACCAUACCAUUUAGGUCUGAACUCAGAAAGUAAAAGUUGCACUUGACCUUCACCCCAUCUCUUCAUUUGAACUAGUGUGUGAAGUAAGUUCGUUGGAGCAAUGCCAGAAAAAGCACUUAUUGAUGGGUUGUAGUAUACUGAUUUCCAUCCAUGUGACUGUAUUUGCAACCCUGUUAUCACAUCCUCCACAAGACAUCCAUAUACUGAACCAAUCUACAAAAAAAUAAUCAUUUAUUGUACUUUAAUAAAUGCUCAAUAUUAUUGACUAUGAUUAUGAAUGUGACUAUGAAACUGUAAAAGAGAUUAGUAAACCACCUUUUUCCCCCAUAAGGUAUUUUUCUCAUAACUGCAAUUUGCUAAAGCCUUUGAUUCUUCUUCUAGUUCAUGCAAGUUUACUUGAGUCACCUCAUUCUCAUUCUCAUCAUUCCAAUCAUUUUUGUAUUCACGACUAAACUUCUUCCUAUAGAAAGCAUCUCUUCUAAGAUAGCAACAAGUUCCAAUAAAAAUAGGGCCACCAAAACCAUCAGCACCAUGGAGUUCUACCUUCAAAGUGAUCAAUAGAGUGUGAAAUUAUUUUUAGAUAAACAUAUCAAUAUUUAUCAUAAUAGCAAUGUUAUCUAUGUCUAAAGUAAGAAAAUUACUACAAAUAUAUUUUCACAAAAAUUAUGUACAUUUAAGAAAGACACGUGUCAUCUUAGAGAUAAAAAAAAUUAAUAUAGAAAUAUGGACAGGUAGAUGAAAAAAUCUAUUACAUCAAUAAUUUAACUAACUCACCUCCACAAUUUCUGAUAGAGAAUUGCCGUAAAGAUCAUUUUUUCCAAUGUUAUCAAAAGAUUGUGGAAAUUGCACAUAAGCAAUUUCUUGGCCUUUAUCUUCAUCCAUGAAAAAACAUAGAGUAUCUCUCACUGAUUGUGAAUGGGUGGAGUACAUGUCACAAUCUAGAAUUAGAAUGAUUUUCCCAUUGCUAAUCGAUGAAGACACUCUUAGCUACAUCAAUGUAAAGAAAUAUAAUGUCAUGUUCAAUGCACCUCGAUCGAAUAAUAUUUCGUGAAAGAUUACUAACCACGCCAUGUAGAGAUUUAUAUAAAUAAUUUAUCGUAUUUUAUUUCAAUUAAAAUUUGAAAAUUUUGUUUAUGAGAUAUUAGAAGAAUAAGUCACAAGGUUAUUUAAAACUCUUUAUAAUAUAUAUAGAGAGAUAGCUAGAUAGAAAUAAUAACAUAUAUAUUAAUUUAUUGCUAUCUACUUUAUUGGGAUGUGAUUCUCCAUCCAAAUUUUGUUGUAAGGAGAGUGAAGGGUUGUAAUUAUGUAUGGUACCAAUGAAUUUAUAGCUCCGGCUUUGAAGUGGGUGUGAUAUUGAGGUCUCUUUUCACGAGCCAUAUACACUAAGGUUGGCAAAAUACACCCGUCUACGUCCUUUGACCCUUCUGUGUCCUUUUUAUGCAUCACUAUCUGUUAACACAAUCAAACAUGCAUCAAACUUUCUGUACAUCUCAAACACAUACUUUUACAAAACAAAAACUUCAGAAAUUGAUGUACUUGAAGGAUAGUAUCGUGAUCACGUGGAGAGGAAUACGAAUCCCAUUGGGAAAAACCCUUAUGCUUUGACCGUGCUUCACUGGGUACACCCAACUUUGUUGCUUCUUCUACUCUCCUUUUCAUUUCUUCGUAUAAUUUCUACACAUAAAAUGAAACUGAGUCUUCAAAAUACUUGGUGAACAAGUGAGAUGAAAGUAAGAAGAUGAGUAAUAGGUGCAUACAUGGAUGGUUGCCAAGUGUUUGACAUAGUUAUGGUCCUCUGAUUUUGUUGAAGCAACAGUGUUAAAAUAGGCAGCAGGUGAUCUUGGUUCCACCUUAAAUCUCUUGCAGAAUGGAAUCCAAUGCUUGGCAAAGGAAGAAGCUUGUAAAAGAGCAUAAAAGGUUACAUCUGAGCCUCCAUCAUCUGAGAGAUACACGCUCAACUUCUCAGCUGGAUAGUCAUAAGCCAUCACAGAUAACACUGUAUUGAUCACCAUCAUCGGUGGCUCCACCACUGCAUCUGCCGUAAACACAAAGAUGUCCACUCCCGGGAACCUACUCUCAUAUCUGCCAAAUUGAAAUUCACACACACAUAAUCAUAAAUCAGUACACUACAAAAAAAUCAGAUUUAUAGACAGAUUUUUAUCCACAGAGUCCAUAGAAACAUCUACGUAAAGGUGACAAAGAUGAACCUUGGAGUGAGUCUGUUGGGGAAGGUUGUUCUGUAGACCAUGUUCCAUCGAAGGGCUUGAUAAAAGAUCCAAUAGAUGCCACCCCACACUUCUGCAACAAACAAACCAAGCCAAGCCCAUUUCCCAGCUUCUCCUUUUGCAGGUAUGUGAGUGAGUCUGAAUGCCCAGACGAAGCAUAUGGCCACAGACAAAGAGACAGCAUAGAGCCUCCGAAUGUGCCUUGCUUUGUCUUUCCUUGUUUCAAACAAUGA